RNAcentral lists this transfer RNA (32 nucleotides) under Flexiseps melanurus (Spotted skink). Its description in RNAcentral is "partial tRNA-Met". The record is from RNAcentral. Lineage: Eukaryota; Metazoa; Chordata; Lepidosauria; Squamata; Scincidae.
UACUCUCUCUAGUAAAGUCAGCUAAUUAAGCU